This is a long non-coding RNA of Cyanistes caeruleus (blue tit), 1606 nucleotides long. The record is from Ensembl. Lineage: Eukaryota; Metazoa; Chordata; Aves; Passeriformes; Paridae.
AAAAGGAAACUUCUCCCUCCUGGAAGCUGGCGUUUGACCUUUGCAGGGCAGGGAGCUUCUUGCCGACAAGUGCAGAAUGCAAACAUUUUGGAUGCAUCACUCCAUCUGUUUUCCCAGAGCCCCAAAGCCGUGCCAAGGAGUGACCUCCAUCCUCCUGGCUGUCACUUUCCCCAUGGAGAGGGGCUCUGGGGAUGUCCCUGUGCCUGUACAUCGAGGGCUGCUCGGCAGCCAUGGGUUCCAGCAGAUCUGGGUGCUGGGGCAGCUGUUGCUCUGAGCGGUGCCGCCGCCGAGUUGGGUAACCAUGGCAACAGCAUCACCGCCAGCAUCCUCCUCCUCCUCACUCGGCUCUCCUCCUCCUCGGCAUCAUCAGGAGCAGCAGCAGCAGCAGCAGCAGCCCUGGCAGGAGCCAGAGCCCAGCAGCCGAGGCUGCAGCCAGCUGCUGCCAACCCCUACCCGCACCGGCACCCGCUCACAGCCCCGGCCCCGCUGCUCCCGGGGGGAAUAGGGCAGAGGGAGCUGAGAGGGCUGCACUGCAGAGGGAUCCCAGACAAGCCAGGUUUCCAGUCUGUUCUGACAUUUUGCAUGGCAAAACCACAUUUCCUGUGAUCUGCCAUCACGUUCCUCUGUGUGAUGCCCCACUCUGGACUCCAGGCUGCUUUUCUGGACUAGCAUAGGGGAAAAAUGGUGAGGCAAUCCCAGCAUUGCUUCACAUUAUGCAUACUAAAGGAUUUUGGUUCUAAGAUAUAAGCAGGGAAAAAAUGGCAUAUUUGGCGAAAAUGUAGCCUGUUCAGAAACAGCAUUUAAACUUGAAAGGUGCAAAGAUCCAUGAGCCAGCUUGGAUAGCAGAGGCACUAUAGCUUGCUUAGCCUGGUGCCCAGCUGCAGCAGGACUUCACUGGGAUGCACAGCUGUUGGGAAGGGUUCUUUAGCCCAAGCAGAGCAGCAUCUGUUCCUUGGCCCUGAGAGAGCUGGUUCAGAGACUGCUCAUGCACACCUCUGUAGUGGUUCAGAGAUGCAGUACUCUUUGUUUGGAAGAGUAAUUUAGCACUUUGUGUGGGUGCAUUUAUGGGAACACACAAAUUCUCUUAAAGAAAUAGGCGUGCUUCUGGUAUUUGCAGAGGUUAUGGGUGCACAUUAAGAGAUAAAAAACUAAAACAAAACAAAUUUAAUGGAGGAAAUUUCCAUUAUUCACCAGCAGUUCUUAUUUGUACCUUAAUAGCUUAUUCUGUGUGGGAAAAGAAGAGGAGUUGGAAGCUGAUUUCCAAAAAGAUGAAGCAUGUCUGGUACUUAGUAAAUCAACAAACUUGUGGAAAGAAUCAUGCCUGAAGGUCUAAUUCCUACACCUGCUAUUAGAGUGGCAAUAAGAGAGGCUGGGGAUGUGAGGGUAUAGAGCUAUUGGGAAUUGUCUCAAGGAAGGACAUGGAGAUGGUGGAGGGCCUGGAGGGGAAGCCACACAAGGAGUAGCUGAGGUCACUUAGCUUGUUCAGGCUGAAGAAGAGGAGGCUGAGGGGAGAGACCCCAUUGUAGACCACACCUCCUUCAUGAGGGGAAGAUGAGGGGCAGGCACUGAUCUCUGCUCUGUGGUGACCAGCAAUUAGGCUCAAGAG